RNAcentral lists this ribosomal RNA (109 nucleotides) under Pteropus alecto (black flying fox). The record is from RNAcentral. Lineage: Eukaryota; Metazoa; Chordata; Mammalia; Chiroptera; Pteropodidae.
CUCUAUGGCCAUGCCACCCUGAACAAACCUGAUCUCGGAAGUUAAUCAGGGUCGGGCCUGGUUAGUACUUGGAUGAGAGACCACCUAGGAAGACCAGGUGCUAUAGGUG